This 560-nucleotide ribosomal RNA is filed under the name Sebacina sp. Seb13L. Its description in RNAcentral is "eukaryotic LSU rRNA". It matches the Rfam family "Eukaryotic large subunit ribosomal RNA", at positions 90 to 631 of the family's 3401-position model. Lineage: Eukaryota; Fungi; Basidiomycota; Agaricomycetes; Sebacinales; Sebacinaceae. The record is from RNAcentral.
CGAGUGAAGAGGGAAAAGCUCAAAUUUUGAAUCUGGUGUCUUUGGCGCCCGAGUUGUAAUCUAGAGAAGUGUUUUCUGCCUCGGACCACACAUAAAUUCCCUGGAAUGGGGUGUCAUAGAGGGUGAGAAUCCCGUUUGUGGUGUGGACUACCUUGGCUCUGUGAUACACUCUCAACGAGUCGAGUUGUUUGGGAAUGCAGCUCAAAAUGGGUGGUAAAUUCCAUCUAAAGCUAAAUAUUGGCGAGAGACCGAUAGCGAACAAGUACCGUGAGGGAAAGAUGAAAAGCACUUUGGAAAGAGAGUGAAACAGUACGUGAAAUUGUUGAAAGGGAAGCGUUUGAAGUCAGUCGCAUUGGUCGGAACUCAGCCUGGCUUCUGCCUGGUGUAUUUUCUGGCAAAUGGGUCAGUGUCAAUUUUGAUCGAGAGAGAAAGACUUGAGGAAUGUGGCUGUCUUCGGGCAGUGUUAUAGCCUCUUGUUGUAUGUCUUGGUUGGGAUUGAGGAACGCAGCACGCCUUUUGGCCGGGGUUCGCGCCCUCGGUACGUGCUUAGGACACUGGCA